This 264-nucleotide ribosomal RNA is filed under the name uncultured bacterium. Its description in RNAcentral is "partial 16S ribosomal RNA". It matches the Rfam family "Bacterial small subunit ribosomal RNA", at positions 793 to 1055 of the family's 1533-position model. The record is from RNAcentral.
GUCCACGCCCUAAACGAUGGCAACUAGUUGUUGGAGGAUGAACUCCUUUAGUAACGCAGCUAACGCGUGAAGUUGCCCGCCUGGGGAGUACGGUCGCAAGAUUAAAACUCAAAGGAAUUGACGGGGGCCCGCACAAGCUGUGGAUGAUGUGGUUCAAUUCGAUGCAACGCGAAAACCUUACCUACCCUUGACAUGCCAGGAAGCCUGAUGAAAGUCGGGUGUGCCCGAAAGGGAACCUGGACACAGGUGCUGCAUGGCUGUCGU